RNAcentral lists this ribosomal RNA (492 nucleotides) under uncultured bacterium. RNAcentral's name for it is "partial 16S ribosomal RNA". It matches the Rfam family "Bacterial small subunit ribosomal RNA", at positions 29 to 507 of the family's 1533-position model. The record is from RNAcentral.
AGUGAACGCUGGCGGUAGGCCUAACACAUGCGAGUCGAACGGCAGCACAGUAAGAGCUUGCUCUUACGGGUGGCGAGUGGCGGACGGGUGAGGAAUACAUCGGAAUCUACUUUUUCGUGGGGGAUAACGUAGGGAAACUUACGCUAAUACCGCAUACGACCUACGGGUGAAAGCAGGGGAUCUUCGGACCUUGCGCGAUUGAAUGAGCCGAUGUCGGAUUAGCUAGUUGGCGGGGUAAGGGCCCACCAAGGCGACGAUCCGUAGCUGGUCUGAGAGGAUGAUCAGCCACACUAGAACUGAGACACGGUCCAGACUCCUACGGGAGGCAGCAGUGGGGAAUAUUGGACAAUGGGCGCAAGCCUGAUCCAGCCAUACCGCGUGGGUGAAGAAGGCCUUCGGGUUGUAAAGCCCUUUUGUUGGGAAAGAAAAGCAGCAGGUUAAUACCCCGCUGUUCUGACGGUACCCAAAGAAUAAGCACCGGCUAACUUCGUG